CCCACCCCUGUGGCUGUGUGAUUCAAGAAACCAAAUUGCCAUGCCCAGGUUUUUUCUUCCUUGAGUGUCCAUCAGACAGAACGCUCAGCAAAGGGAGAUCAGAUCCAAGGGAAUUUCUGGGGAACAGGGCUUGCAUCCUCCAUCACCUCAGCUGGAGACGCUGGCAUUUCCCCCAGAGCAGAGUUAAUAUUCUCUGUGCCUGCAGCAGCAGCAACCCCCAGCCCUCUCCUCCUCAGCUCCCCCUUCCCAGGCUGAAUGUUUUGGCAGACUUCUUGUUCCAAACCAGUGGACCUUGUAACGCCUCGGAAUGCAUAAUCCAAACCUCCCUGCCUAGGAAAGGCAGGAGUUGGGACAAAGCAGCCUGCACCUUCAAUCCUUUAGUUACCAGUUCAAGCUGUGUGGAAGGAAAAAGGGGUUUUCUCUGUGUUUUCGUUUUCCUCCUGCCCUGGCCUGCCCCACUGAGUCCCUCAGACCCACAGAGGCCUCGAGGAGCUGCAUUCCCUGCUGGGAAUGAGCCAGCUCUGCAGCCAGGAGCAUCAAAGAACAUCUUCCCCUGGUGUUCCAUGGCUUGUGAUCCCUGCUGAAAGGCAGCUCCAGCUUUUUUGAACACCUCAGAGCUGCUCCAAGGCCAUACAAGAGUGAUUAAGGGAACAAUCAGGAGUCUGUGACACACAUUUCUGCUCUUGUCUGCCAGGACAGGUGAGCCCAGGACAAACCAGAAGAGAAGAGCUCCUGCCUGGCUGUGCCUCGCAGAAGCGCCGUGUCUGAGCACGCCGGGCUGAUCCAAGGUGUCAUGUGUGCAUCAUUUAAAUUAACGUUGCUAAAACAACAAUGCUAUUUUUAAUAUUUAAAGAGCCCCUUUGAAGAGUAGGAGAAUCUGUCACCUUUCCUGGUGGAUUUGAAUCCUGUGUUCUGAGGGUUUUUCUUCUCUGAUUAAAGCAGUUGCCUGCAUGA
Vidua chalybeata is the source of this 954-nucleotide long non-coding RNA. RefSeq lists it as uncharacterized. NCBI's taxonomy places the organism in Eukaryota, Metazoa, Chordata, Aves, Passeriformes, Viduidae. The transcript is spliced from 2 exons. The record is from RefSeq and is a predicted model, not a curated record.